GAUGAGAACGCAGCGAAAUGCGAUACGUAGUGUGAAUUGCAGAAUUCAGUGAAUCAUCGAAUCUUUGAACGCACAUUGCGCCCUUUGGUAUUCCAAAGGGCAUGCCUGUUCGAGCGUCAUUUGUACCCUCAAGCUUUGCUUGGUGUUGGGCGUCUUUUGUCUCCAGUUCGCUGGAGACUCGCCUUAAAGUCAUUGGCAGCCGGCCUACUGGUUUCGGAGCGCAGCACAAGUCGCGCUCUUAGCCAGCCAAGGUCAGCGUCCAGCAAGCCUUUUUUCAACCUUUGACCUCGGAUCAGGUAGGGAUACCUGCUGAACUUAAGCAUAUCAAUAAGCGGAGGA
Molecule: unclassified non-coding RNA, 339 nt
Filed under: soil metagenome
Description: partial contains 5.8S ribosomal RNA, internal transcribed spacer 2, and large subunit ribosomal RNA
Rfam family: 5.8S ribosomal RNA (bases 5-119)
Source: RNAcentral